UACAGAGGGUGCGAGCGUUGUCCGGAAUUACUGGGCGUAAAGGGUGCGUAGGCGGACGUUUAAGUCGGGGGUGAAAUCCCAGGGCUCAACCCUGGAACUGCCUUCGAUACUGGACGUCUCGAGACCGGGAGAGGUGAGUGGAACUGCGAGUGUAGAGGUGAAAUUCGUAGAUAUUCGCAAGAACACCAGUGGCGAAGGCGGCUCACUGGCCCGGUUCUGACGCUGAGGCACGAAAGCGUGGGGAGCAAACAGG
Molecule: ribosomal RNA, 253 nt
Filed under: uncultured bacterium
Lineage: Bacteria
Description: partial 16S ribosomal RNA
Rfam family: Bacterial small subunit ribosomal RNA
Source: RNAcentral